GGAUGAUAUUACAUUCUUUGUAUCAACUAAAUCUUACAAUAUUUCUCACACACCAAACAAUUUAGAAAAUCAAUUAAAAAAGGUUGGUGUAACAAUCGAAUUCAUACUUGUUAGGGAAGAAUGAGGAAACAUAUUUCUUUUCUUUUCUAUAUUAUAAAAGCAUUGGUUUCGACUGCUUCCUGAUCUUGACAUGUGUGCUUCAUGUCAAAAAAUUUUAUGCCAAGGGCAUUUUAUAUCACCCUAUCAGGAUGACAAUAACCAUACGUGUAGCAAAUAUAAGCUGUUACAAAACACGUGUAUUGUAUCAAUUUCUUCUUCAGAUGUCUUUUGCUCUUUUUUCAAUCUUGUCUCUAUCUUUUCUCCUCUGUUAAACCAGAAGAUCAAACCCAAGUUGUUUCUCUUUUGUGUCGGGUCUGUUUUUUCUUGAAGAUUAUUUCAUACAUGCCAGCUUUAAUUUUUGAUAAUCAUUUUUAUGGCUUUGUGGAUUAUCAUUUGAGUUUUUUCAUGGGAUUUUUUGUUCUAAUAAAAGAGAGAAGGUCCAAUUUGUGGGUUUUACUUGUGUUUUUUUUAAUUCUAUAUCAAAUUCACUGCUUCUAUAAUAUAGAAAAUAGAUUAGAUUGGUCACUUGAGGUUUCUCUCUAUCCUUGAUUUUAAUGGAAGAAGAAGGAUCAAUUUGAUAUUUUUGGUUCUUAGGAUCUGUAGAAAUCUAUAAAUUUUGUACUUUGUCAAUGUAAGGGAAAGAGAGAUGGUCCAUAUCAUGGCAGGGUGAUUUGUAAGGUACUAUGAGUUGGUUGAGCUGUAGUAGUGCACAUGAUAUAUGCAGCUAUGGCGGAUGCAUUAUCUCCUUUGCCCUAAUUAUGCCGAUACAGGUCUUAAAAAUCCCCUAAAAAGGAUAUACAUACACACCCUUAUAUCUCUCUAUACAUAUACUGAGAAGGGUUUUGUCGUUGUUAUUGCUUUUAAGGAUGAGAGGUUAUGAUGAUUAUGGUGUAUAGAGCUCAUAGGGUAAGAGAGUUGGACAUGUAUGUAGUGCAGUCAUGGUAGAUGCAUUGUUUCAUCUCCUUUGCUCAGAAUAUACUGAUCUGAGCCUUAAAAUUGAAACUUUAUGCAAUAUGUACAUAGAAACUUCAUCAUCAUCAUGCAUGAUCAAUGUUGAAAUUGUUGAAAUUGGUUUUUGUUGUUAUGAUUGUUGUUAUGGAUUAGAGCUUGUGAUGAUUUAAGCUAUUUAGAGUUCAUGGGGGAAAGGAAGUUGCAUCCGUAUCUCGACGGGGCGACUCGAAAGGUACUAUGAGCUGAUCGAGCUAUAGUGCAGCUGAGGUCUGCAGCCAUGGAGGAUGCAUUAUCUCUCUUGACCUGAUUAUACUGAUUUGAGCCUUAAGGGUCUGUUUGGUUAGGCUAUUGCAUUGAAACCUUUGAUGAAAAUUGAAAAGUUUCUGCAGUUUGUAUACAUAUAAACACAAUAAUCUUUACAUAUAUACAUAUAUAUAUAUAUACACACAAAAAAAAAAAAAGAAAUGAAGGGUUUAGGGUUUAAGAUUUGACCAUUUUGUUAUUACUUCUUCUCUUUACUCAUCAUCAUCAUAUAUGCUUGCGUUGAAAUCCUUGAAAUGGGUUUUUUGUUGUCAUUUAUAUUGUCGUUGGUGGUGGUGGUGUUACAAUGUGAGGUUGUGAUGAUUAAGGUGUCUAGAGUUCAUAAGGUAACAGAGUUAUGCCCGUAGCUUGGCGGGGCAACCUGAAAGGCCUUAUUUGAAGAGCAAUUGUGGUUCUGUAGCCAUGUUUGACGCAUUAUCUCCUUUGUCGUGAUUAUAACAAUUUGAGCCUUUUUAUCUAUAGUUUCUAUAUGUUACAUAUAUAUCUCUCUUAAUAAAUACAUAUAUAUAUAUAUAAUCAUCUAUGAAUUUUGAAAAUAAGGCAAAUAGAGACGUAUUGAGGUGUCUUUUAAUGGUGGUUGCCCUCUCUCUGUUUCUCCACAGACGAAAAAAUAAAGUAAAAAAACACCAUUUAUAUUAAGGGUUUGUUUGGUUAAGCUGUUGUACUGAAAAUCAAAAGUUUCUACAAUAUGUAUAGAUGUAUAUACACAUAUCUUAAGGGUCUGUUAAGCUAAGUUGUUGUUUCGAUUGGCUUAUUUUAUGUGCUUUUAAGAACACUUUUGUUGCUUCUUUACCUCUUCCUAUUUAUCUAUGAGGUUGUGAUGAUGACUAAUAAAGUCUUUCUAGAGUUAGGUUGGGUAUUUUGGGCUUACCCCGUAUCUUGGCGGGGCGACCCGGUAAGGCUUGCAUCUAUGGCAGAUGUUGUUUCCUUUUGCCCUGCUUAUAAUAUUUUGAGACUUAAAUCAAAAGUUUCUGUAGUAUGUAUACAUACUCACAUUCAUCAUUCAUUUAUCUCUUUAUAUUUCUUUUCUAUAUUAUAGAAGCAGUAGUUUCGAUAUGUGUGCUUCAUGUCAAAAAAUAUUUAUAGCAAGAGCAUUGUAUUCAUUUACUCUAUGAAGAUGUAAUGUAUAUAUGUGUACCUUUUAUGUGAUAUGAAAAUAUCAUAUCCAUAUGGGAAGAUGGAAGGUCGUUGGUAUCUUCUUCUGUGCCUAGAAAAACAACUAACUAACCGAGCAAUACGACAAAGCCAAAAUCUGCAGCUGAGGUAUUGGAUUAAGAAUGUUGGUUUCAGGAUUUUGUCUGUACUGAUUUGAUGAUAUUACCUUUUUGGUUCACAUGUCAUGUUUCUUCCUAUACCUUUCUUCUUUUAGAUCCAUAUGUCGGUAGGUUUCCAUGAGAAGGGAAGGCUACAAGAAAAGAAGUCAUCAUUCAGUAAAAAGAACGUGUCAGCUGUGAAAAUCUUUAUCUAUGACUUAAUGUCUUUUGGAGACUCUUCUCUUUCCUAUAAGGCAUUUCAAGAAGUUGAGGAUGAAAGAGAACAAAGAAGAAAUUCUAGGUUGAAACAGCAUAAGAAGAGCCAAGAGCGCAUAAAACAAUGUUGAAUGGCAAUUUCUCAAGCUUAGAGAGGAUUCACGUCAAGUUAAUGGCAAUUUUCUCAACUGGCUUUCCAGAGGCAAUGAAAAAUGGUACUCAUCUACUGUUGCCCCAACUAAGCAUUCUCAUACAACAAAACUUUGAAGUCAUGUAAUGAAUCUCAAAUUCCCUCAUCAAGCACAAAAGGGCAUCAGGUGGUUUUGGUGGAAUUACAAUUAACAACAGCGAUGAGAUUCCAAUCCCUUUUAAUUUUCUAGGUGGUGAUAUUACAAUUAUGAUUGGUGAUUGGUACACCAGAAAUCACACAAUUAGUCUUUACGCAAUGAUACAAUGAGUUUAUGGUAAAGUUAAACUUGUGUAGUUUAGUGUGUAAUGUGCACCUUUAGUUGUUGUUGAAUGUAGUCUUUGUGGAGCACUCUUCUAGUUGGGAAAGAUCUGGGCAAAUUAGAUGGUGUUUUAAUUAAUGAGAAAGGUUUGUAUAGAUACAAUGACACUAUUGUGCCUGAUGGAAUUAUGAAACAAUUACUAUCCAUCCAGGUAAGCUACAUUGUGCUAGAAGUGGACUAAUUAUUUAAAAAUAGUAAGAUGUUGUCAUUAGAC
Capsicum annuum is the source of this 3563-nucleotide long non-coding RNA. RefSeq lists it as uncharacterized. The transcript has 4 exons. The record is from RefSeq and is a predicted model, not a curated record. Lineage: Eukaryota; Viridiplantae; Streptophyta; Magnoliopsida; Solanales; Solanaceae.